CAGCAGCCGCGGUAAUACGAAGGUCCCAAGCGUUGUUCGGAAUCACUGGGCGUAAAGGGAGCGUAGGCGGCGUGGUAAGUCAGAUGUGAAAUCCCGGGGCUCAACCCCGGAACUGCAUCCGAUACUGCCAUGCUUGAGGGUUGGAGAGGUAGCUGGAAUUCUUGGUGUAGCAGUGAAAUGCGUGGAUAUCAAGAGGAACACUCGUGGCGAAGGCGAGCUACUGGACAACAUCUGACGCUGAGGCUCGAAGGCCAGGGUAGCGAAAGGGAUUAGAUACCCCAGUAGUCCCUGUCUCUUAUAA
Molecule: ribosomal RNA, 301 nt
Filed under: uncultured bacterium
Lineage: Bacteria
Description: partial 16S ribosomal RNA
Rfam family: Bacterial small subunit ribosomal RNA
Source: RNAcentral